Long non-coding RNA from Betta splendens (Siamese fighting fish), 469 nucleotides. RefSeq lists it as uncharacterized. Lineage: Eukaryota; Metazoa; Chordata; Actinopteri; Anabantiformes; Osphronemidae. The record is from RefSeq and is a predicted model, not a curated record. The transcript has 2 exons.
AACUCCUGCGUGAUUGGUCCAGGUGGACCUGGCGCGUUCGCGCGUACCCCCCCCCCUCCGUGCGCGCUCACGCGCAGCUUGUGACCGCUGGCGCAAUCACAAGGCUGGAACUAGCGGCUCAGAUUUGCUGCAUCUGAAACCUUAAACUUCCUGCUUUUUACCGUGACGUCCUGAAGACUCAUGCUUUACUGACAAUAUAUCUACAGACGAAACACGUCACAGAGACUGUGAUCAACAACCUGGGGAUUAACCUGAUCCUGUCAAAUGUAUACCUGUGGGUGUGGUAGCUUUGUGAAGUUUAACACAUAAAAAGGAAUCUGAAAGCACCUGGAUGUGAGAGAACCUUCCGAGGCCCUCCGUCGAUUACAGCAAUUUGAAUCCAUAUGUCAACAGAACAAAACGAGCAGCACAAUAAACCACUGGCAGCUUUCAGAUAAGGAGCAAGCUAAAAAAAAAAAAAAAAAAGGAU